This 518-nucleotide ribosomal RNA is filed under the name Burkholderia cepacia. RNAcentral's name for it is "bacterial SSU rRNA". It matches the Rfam family "Bacterial small subunit ribosomal RNA", at positions 555 to 1072 of the family's 1533-position model. Lineage: Bacteria; Pseudomonadati; Pseudomonadota; Betaproteobacteria; Burkholderiales; Burkholderiaceae. The record is from RNAcentral.
UGGGCGUAAGCGUGCGCAGGCGGUUUGCUAAGACCGAUGUGAAAUCCCCGGGCUCAACCUGGGAACUGCAUUGGUGACUGGCAGGCUAGAGUAUGGCAGAGGGGGGUAGAAUUCCACGUGUAGCAGUGAAAUGCGUAGAGAUGUGGAGGAAUACCGAUGGCGAAGGCAGCCCCCUGGGCCAAUACUGACGCUCAUGCACGAAAGCGUGGGGAGCAAACAGGAUUAGAUACCCUGGUAGUCCACGCCCUAAACGAUGUCAACUAGUUGUUGGGGAUUCAUUUCCUUAGUAACGUAGCUAACGCGUGAAGUUGACCGCCUGGGGAGUACGGUCGCAAGAUUAAAACUCAAAGGAAUUGACGGGGACCCGCACAAGCGGUGGAUGAUGUGGAUUAAUUCGAUGCAACGCGAAAAACCUUACCUACCCUUGACAUGGUCGGAAUCCUGCUGAGAGGUGGGAGUGCUCGAAAGAGAACCGGCGCACAGGUGCUGCAUGGCUGUCGUCAGCUCGUGUCGUGAGA